Molecule: long non-coding RNA, 574 nt
Filed under: Mus musculus (house mouse)
Lineage: Eukaryota; Metazoa; Chordata; Mammalia; Rodentia; Muridae
Description: predicted gene, 20753 (Gm20753)
Source: RNAcentral
GAGCUGUUUCCCAGGAGGUUUGUCCUCGCCAUAGAGGAGAGGUGGCGAGAGGGGCUCGCGUUGCACAGUGGGGGUUGUAGUUCAUCUUCGUGUCGAGGAUACCCAGAAGAGACCAACAGCGAACUACAAGGCCCAGAUAUCAUCAAAUUCUGCCCACCCUCUCCUCCAGCUUCUGGCCCUUGUUGACAGCUCGUCAGAUUCAAAACUAAGAAGACGUACAGGAUUGGCGAGCUCCUCCCUCCUCAGGUGUGAUACAGCAAUGUGCAGUUGCUGUGAGAGGAGAAGCUUCAGGGUGGCUGCCUGCAAAUGUCCAGGGAGCUGCGGAAACACAGGCAACUUGCAGAAGUCAGCGCUGUGCUAUGUCUGCUUCACUGUGCUAAGUGCACUCUUCGGUGACAGCUGCCUGAGUCACUCUCGCUCCUUUGUUGAAGAAGAAGAAGAAGAAGAAGAAGAAGAAGAAGAAGAAGAAGAAGAAGAAGAAGAAGAAGAAAGAGAGAGAGAGACAUUCUGUAGAGACAUUAAAUGAACAGGCACUGGAGUUCUUAAAAAAAAAAAAAAAAAAAAAAAAAAAAAA